GGAUGAACGCUAGCGGCAGGCUUAAUACAUGCAAGUCGAGGGGCAGCACAGGUAGCAAUACUGGGUGGCGACCGGCAAACGGGUGCGGAACACGUACGCAACCUUCCUUCAAGCGGGGGAUAGCUUUCGGAAACGAAAAUUAAUACCCCAUAGUACUACGAGAGGGCAUCUGAUUGUAGUUAAAGAUUUAUCACUUGAAGAUGGGCGUGCGGCUGAUUAGGUAGUUGGCGGAGUAAUAGCCCACCAAGCCAACGAUCAGUAACUGGUGUGAGAGCACGACCAGUCACACGGGCACUGAGACACGGGCCCGACUCCUACGGGAGGCAGCAGUAAGGAAUAUUGGUCAAUGGACGCAAGUCUGAACCAGCCAUGCCGCGUGGAGGAUGAAGGCCCUCUGGGUUGUAAACUUCUUUUAUCAGCGAAGAAACCCCCGGUUUAUACUGGGGUUGACGGUACCUGAUGAAUAAGCACCGGCUAACUCCGUGCCAGCAGCCGCGGUAAUACGGAGGGUGCAAGCGUUAUCCGGAUUCACUGGGUUUAAAGGGUGCGUAGGUGGGUUUGUAAGUCAGUGGUGAAAUCUCCAAGCUUAACUUGGAAACUGCCAUUGAUACUAUAGAUCUUGAAUCUCGUGGAGGUAAGCGGAAUAUGUCAUGUAGCGGUGAAAUGCUUAGAUAUGACAUAGAACACCGAUAGCGAAGGCAGCUUACUACACGAGUAUUGACACUGAUGCACGAAAGCGUGGGGAUCAAACAGGAUUAGAUACCCUGGUAGCCCACGCCCUAAACGAUGGAUACUCGACAUACGCGAUACACAGUGUGUGUCUGAGCGAAAG
RNAcentral lists this ribosomal RNA (832 nucleotides) under uncultured bacterium. RNAcentral describes it as "bacterial SSU rRNA". It matches the Rfam family "Bacterial small subunit ribosomal RNA", at positions 27 to 857 of the family's 1533-position model. The record is from RNAcentral.